This 2898-nucleotide long non-coding RNA is filed under the name Homo sapiens (human). RNAcentral's name for it is "PREDICTED lncRNA (TCONS_00182058)". Lineage: Eukaryota; Metazoa; Chordata; Mammalia; Primates; Hominidae. The record is from RNAcentral.
CUGUGGAGUUUUACUCCCUGCUCCUCUGGCUAUCCUCCCGAUGGAUCCCUGUGGUGCCAGGCAGGAAUGGGCUGCUCAGGGACCCAGCAAGUUCCCAGGGCUUUUCUGCUGCUUCCUGUACCCCUGUAUUUUGCUCAGCUCUCUAACUUGACUCAGCUCCAGCAAAGCAGUUGCUGCUACAGAUUGAAUGCAUCUGGGCCAUCCGUGGGUUACUGGCUUAAGGAUUUUUGAUAGGAAGACUACGGGUUGUCAGUGGCCUCCAUGCUUUUGGUUUCUCUAGGUUCAAAAGAAAGAGGAGUGAAGAGGAGUAAAACACACAUCUAUUAAAAAGCAAGAAGAUUAAAUAAAUUGAAGCUUUUUAUUUCUCUUUCUCUGCCUAAGGUGUGUCUGUGAGGGUGUUGCCAAAGGAGAUUAACAUUUGAGUCAGUGGACUGGGAGAGGCAGACCCAUCCUCAGUCUGCACCAUCUAAUCAGCUGCCAGCAUGGCUAGAAUAAAAGCAUGCAGAAGAAAGUGGAAGGGCUUGACAUGCUGAGUCUUCUGGCCUUCAUCUUUCUCCUGUACUGGAUGCUUCCUGCCCUUGAACGUCGAACUCCAAGUUCUUCAGCUUUUGGACACUUGGACUCACACCAGUGGUUUGCCAGGGGCUCUGAGGUCUUCAGCCACAGACUGAAGGCUGCACUGUCGGCUUCCAUACUUUUGAGGUUUUGGAACUCGGACUGGCUUCCUUGCUUCUCAGCUUGCAGAUGGCCUAUUGUGGGACUUCACCUUGUGAUCGUGACCCAGUGGCUGUCUUGAUGUCUCACAGCAGGAAGAGACUCUCUCAAAUAGGUGUACACAUGGGGAGAGAGAGAGCAAGGAGACUGAGAUACAAUCAGCCACCAGCAAGUUGUCUUGAUUUUCUGAAUGGAGCGUGGUAGCAUGUUAUAGAGUCCAAGGAAUUUGCCAAAUCCGUGUGAGAAGAUUUGCCUCUCACAUGUGAGAGAAUUUUUUGAGAAAAAAAAGAUCCUGACCCCGUCCCUCUGCCACCACCCGAGUGAGGAAGACUGACAGAGCACAUUGGCUUGCUGUGGAGACAAGAUCAGGGAAAGCGCCCCUGAAAAGAAAGCAUUUUGGAAGUCCUGAAGGUGGAGAAGGAGAUUUAGAGGAAGAGUGAUAAAUCAGAAGUCUUCGUCCAAGAAUUAGCUUUGCACCAUCUACAGACCUAAGCAGCUGCAGUCCUGGAACUGUGUGAUAACUUGCCCAGAAAAUCUUCUUGUGGAAUCUGUCUUUACAUGGAAAAGACUUGGCAAUAUUUGUACAGCAACUGGAAGAAAGGUCUUUGCUGAGAUAUACAAAGAGGCAGAAUGUGUGUGGAUCACCGAUUAGACAAGGCGAAUAGGAGCAGAAUAGAAGAGGAAUGGAAUAGAACUCAAGGACUUGAAGAAAUGACUCCUCUCCUAUUCAUGUAGUGUCAGCCCCAGGAGCUCACCUUGGCUGGAGAAUCCACCUCCAAGAUACCUUACUUAGACGGUAUGCAAUUUCAUGUUGGUGGACAACUAGGGAAUAUUUUCUCCACAUGGGCCUCUUCAUAUCACUUCUUCCUCACAGCAUGGCAACUGGGUUCCAAGACUGUGCAUUUGAAAAGACAGGAAGUAGGUAUUACCAGUGUCUUAAGACCUAGGUCCAGAUGCUGGCACUGCGUCACUUCUAAGUUCCAUAAGUCAAGGCAAUCACACAGCCCACUCAGAUUUGCAUAAAGAAGAUAUAGGCUCCUGGUCUUGUUGGGUGAAAUGUUACAUACUGUGUGGCCAUGAUAAGUGCAGAUUUCAAGUACAGUUUUGCUGUCUCUAAAGACAUAAGGAUAAGAAACAACAAAAACAAAAAUUGUCGAGUGGGACCUAAUUAAAGAGGUUCUGCACAGCAAAAGAAAUUAUCAAUGGAGUAAACAGACAACCUACAGAAAGGGAGAAAAUAUUCAAAUACUAUGGAUCCAAUAAAGGUCUAAUAUCCAGAAUCUGUAAGGAAUUUAAAAAUUGAACAAGUGAAAAACAAAUAACCCCAUAAAAAUUGGGCCAAAGACAUGAACAAACACUUAUCAAAAGAAGACAUACAAGGGGCCAACAAACAUAUGACAAAAUGCUCAUCAUUGCUAAUCACCAGAAAAAUGCAAAUCAAAUCACAACAAGAUACCAUCUCACAGCAGUCAGAAUGGCUUGUGUUAAAGAGUCAAAAAAACAACACAUGCUUGUGAGGUUGUGGAGAAAAGGAAAUGCUCACAUUGUUCAGCCAUAGAAAGGAACAAAAGCAUACCCUUCGCAGCAACAUGGAUGCAGCUGGAGGCCAUUAUAAGUGAAUUAACACAGGAAAAGAAAACCAAACGUCACAUGUUCUCACUUAGAAGUAGGAGCUAAACCUCCUAAACAUCGAGCACUCACAGACAUAAAGACAGGAACGACAGAUACUGGGAGGGAAGGGGGCAAGGAUAGAAAAACUAUUAGGUACCGUGCUCACUACCUGGGUGACAGGAUCAAUCAUACCCCAAACCUCAGCAUCACACAACAUACCCAGGUAACAAGCCUGCUCAUGUACCCCCUGAAUCUAAAAUAAAAGUUGAAGUUAUUUAGAAAAAUAAAAGAUAAAAAAGAUGAUUAAACGAAGUCCCUUUUAUCUGAUGUGUAUUUAUUAGGCAACUUGCAAAUAUAAAUGUGUGCCAAAUCACUGAACAAAUAAAGGUCUAUUCAGUUAUGUAAAUAAAACUUCAAUAAAUACAUUCUGGAAAAACUAAAUAGAGACAGAGCAACUUUUAAUGGGGCUGAAGAUAGUGUAUUAGGAGUGGAUGGAUAAAGCUUGCUGGAGGAAAUGGCAUUUAACAUAGAUUAAAACUGUUGAAGACUGAAAACUAAAAUCACAGGCAAAGC